CCUACGGGUGGCAGCAGUGAGGAAUAUUGGUCAAUGGGCUUACGCCUGAACCAGCCAAGCCGCGUGAGGGAAGACUGCCCUAUGGGUUGUAAACCUCUUUUGUCAGGGAGCAAUUGGCGCUACGUGUAGCGUUAUCGAGAGUACCUGAAGAAAAAGAAUCGGCUAACUCCGUGCCUGCAGCCGCGUUAUAACGAAGGAUGCGAGCUUUAUCCGGAUUUCUUGGGUUAAAGGGGUGCGUAGGGGGAAGGCAAAGUCAACGGUAAAAUAGAGGGGCUCAACCUCGCCCCGCCAUUGAAACUGGCGGUCUUGAGUGGAAGAGAGGUAUGCGGAAUGCGUGGUGUAGCGGUGAAAUGCAUAGAUAUCACGCAGAAC
RNAcentral lists this ribosomal RNA (372 nucleotides) under uncultured bacterium. RNAcentral's name for it is "partial 16S ribosomal RNA". It matches the Rfam family "Bacterial small subunit ribosomal RNA", at positions 338 to 707 of the family's 1533-position model. The record is from RNAcentral.